GGGUUUGUGUCCCGGGAGCUUGCAAGUUCAGCGUUUGCGGAGCAGGAGGUAAGCGCGGAGGCUUGACGCGGCUCCACCUUGCGGGAUAUCACCAGCGGCUCUGUCUGGCCUGACUCGCGGGAAGCUCCGCUUCCUUCGGUAGGAGACGGGUAAAGGCCCCGUUACAGCCCUGCAUGUGUUCGCUAACCGAGGCGGCGUGGAAUGCGGAGAGAACCUAGGCCCGAAACCGGCAUCAAUGUCUGGUUUCCAGACCACAACCAGGAGUCAUAUCCAUUCUUCAAAUGGUUUGUAAAGAAUGUGCGCUUAAACGUGGCAGGAUGGCAGUGGUCGUCAUAUCACCCGGAACAAUCACCAGGUCCAUCAUUAUUAAUACUUCCAUGGAGAAACCACGUUUUCAUUUAAAUUUAACUUGGCGUCUCAGCUGGUGUCCACGCGUGUUUACCGACCCGUCUGUGGACCUCAGAAGCCGCGGUCCCUGAGCCGAAGGCGGAGGAGCGCUGCCCACCCCGCCAGAUGGAAAAGGGACCACACCAUCGCUCAGCAGCAUCACUCCUGUUAUGUGCGAACGGCGCCACCUGGCGCUCAGUGUUGGUGGAGACCCUGGUGUUAGGCGACAUGGCGACGAUUCACUCUCCCAAACUCUGAGGGCAUUUCUUGUGUUCGAGGUUUCUACAGGUACCCUCCACAGCCAGGGUCGCACUACCCGCUCACCGUUCCAUCAUCCCACACGGCUGCGCAGCCGGCAGAUGAGAAGCCACUUCUUCCAAGGACAGACUCUCUGUUACAUGUAAGGAAUUGGUUGAAUAAAGGUCUCACC
This 817-nucleotide long non-coding RNA is filed under the name Sus scrofa (pig). RNAcentral's name for it is "lncRNA (ENSSSCG00030068248.1)". The record is from RNAcentral. Lineage: Eukaryota; Metazoa; Chordata; Mammalia; Artiodactyla; Suidae.